RNAcentral lists this ribosomal RNA (4671 nucleotides) under Lupinus angustifolius (narrow-leaved blue lupine). RNAcentral describes it as "Eukaryotic large subunit ribosomal RNA". It matches the Rfam family "Eukaryotic large subunit ribosomal RNA". Lineage: Eukaryota; Viridiplantae; Streptophyta; Magnoliopsida; Fabales; Fabaceae. The record is from Rfam by way of RNAcentral.
GAAUCUCAGGUCAGGCGGGGCUACCCACUAAGUUUAAGCAUAUCAAUAGGCGGAUGAAAAGAAACUAACAAGGAUUCCCUUAGUAAUGGCGAGCGAACCGGGAAAAGCCCACCAUGAGAAUCGCUCUCCCUCGAUGUCCGAUUUGUAGUCUGGAGAAGCGUCCACAGCGGUGGAUCGGGCCCAAGUCCCCAGGAAGGGGGCGCUAGAGAGGGUGAGAGCCCUGUCGUUCAUGGACCCUAUCGCACCACGAGGCAUUGUCAGCGAGUCGGGUUGUUUGGGAAUGCAGCCCCAAUCGGGCGGUAAAUUCUGUCCAAGGCUAAAUACUAGCGAGAGACAAAUAGCGAACAAGUACCGCAAGGGAAAGAUGUAAAGGACUUUGAAAAGAGAGCCAAAUAGUGCUUGAAAUUGUUAGGAGGGAAGCGGAUGGAGGCCGACGAUGUGCCUCGGUCGGAUGUGGAACGGCGAGAGCCGAUACGCCAAUUAACUUGGGGCAUGGAUCGACGCGAAUUGUGAUGGUGGCCCAAGCUUGGGCUGAUGACAUGCUCGUGGAGACGUCAUCAUCGCAUUUGUGGUUGGAAGCGUGCGCCGUUUGAUGUGCUUCGACACCUGUGUGCUUCGGGCGUCGGCCUGUGGACUCUCUAUUCGGUCCGUCUUGAAACAUGGACCAAGGAGUCAGACAUGUGUGCGAGUCAGCGGGCAAGUAAACAUGUAAGGCGCAAUGAAGCUGAUUGGUGGGAUCCCCUUGUGGGUUGCACCACCGACCGACCUUGAUUUUCUGUGAAGGGUUCGAGUGAGAACAUACCUGUUGGGACCCGGAAGAUGGUGAACUAUGCCUCAGCGGGGCGAAGCCAGAGGAAACUCUGGUGGAGGCCCGCAACGAUACUGACGUGCAAAUCGUUCGUCUAAUUUGGGUGUAAGGGCGAAAGACUAAUCGAACCGUCUAGUAGCUGUUUCCCUCCGAAGCUUCCCUUAGGAUAGCUGGAGCCUGGGGGUGAGUUCUAUCAGGUAAAGCUAAUGAUUAGAGGCAUCAGGGGUGAAACUCCCUCGACCUAUUCUCAAAAUUUAAAUAGGUAGGACGGCGUGGUUGCUUUGUUGAGCCACGCCACGAAAUCGAAAUCCGCUAAGGAGUGUGUAACAAAUCACCUGCCGAAUCAACUAGCCUCGAAAAUGGAUGGCGCUAAAGCACGCGAAGAUGAGAAAGGUUCCAUGUGAACGAAACUUGUACAUGGGUUAGUCGAAUCCUAAGGGACGGGGGAAGCGCGUUUGAUAGCGCUCUAAGCACGCACUCCGAAAGGGAGUCGGGUUAAAAUUCCUGAACCGGGAUGUGGCAACUGACGACAACAUUAGGGAGUUCGGAGACGUCGGCGAGGUCCCCCAUAAAGAGUUAUCUUUUCUAUUUAACAGCCUGCCUACCCUAGAAAUGGCUCAGCCAGAGGUAGGCUCCGGUAGCUGGAAGAGCACCGCACGUCGCAUGGUGUCCAGUGCGCCAGUGGCGGCCCUUGAAAAUUCGAAGGACCGGGUGCCUCCCUCGCUCGGUCGUACUCAAAACCGCAUCAGGUAUCGAAGGUGAACAACCUUUGGUCGAUGGAACAAUGUAGGCAAGGGAAGUCAGCAAAAUGGAUCCGUAACCUCGAGAAAGGGUUUGGGUCUAAGGGCAGGGCAUGGGUCCCAAAUCCGAACCCGUUGGCUGUCGGUGGACUGCUCGAGCUGCUCUCAUGGGGAUAGCGAGUCGCCGCGUGCCGGUCGGGGGAUGGAUUGGGAACAAGCCCUUUGGGGCCUCUUCCCCGGGCGUCGAACAGUCGACUCAGAACUCGUACGAACAAGGGGAAUUCGACUGUUUAAUUAAAACAAAGCAUUGCAAUGGUCCCUUCGAAUGUUGAUGCAAUGUGAUUUCUGCCCAAUGCUCUGAAUGUCAAAGUGAAGAAAUUCAACCAAGCACGGGUAAACGGCGGGAGUAACUAUGACUCUCUUAACGUAGCUAAAUGCUUCGUCAUCUAAUUAGUGACGCGCAUGAAUGGAUUAACGAGAUUCCCACUGUCCCUGUCUACUAUCCAGCAAAACCACAGCCAAGGGAACGGGCUUGGCGGAAUCAACGGGGAAAGAAGACCCUCUUGAGCUUGACUCUAGUCCGACUUUGUGAAAUGACUUGAUGUUAGUUAUCAGUGGCAGAAUACACCUAGAAGGUGGGGUUGAAUAGGUGUGGUGGAGCUCACGUUCCGCUUUUUGGGUUUUUCACACUUGCUAAAAAAUGGCCAGUUAAUCUAUUAAGCACUAUUCCUAAUCAAUUAAACAUAGUAAAAAAAAAAUGCAGAAAAUCUUGUUUAACAACUCUUUAGCACGGCAGGUUAGGAGAAAUCAGGCAAUGAUACAACAUAUAUUUUUACAUAAAAUUAAACUAGUUAUAGUAAAAAACCAGUAUACAAAUUAUCAUGUUAUAUCAUGCAAUAUUACAACUUGAAAUGUAAAAGAGAAAGGGAUAGAAAAAAUUGCGCAAGGAUUUUAUCCUGGUUUGUUUUGUGGUCCACUACAAAACUACAUCCAGGCCUCCCCUUCUAAUCUUGGGAGAUUUUCUUCAUCACUAUAGAACACAAUGUAUCAUUACAUACACACUUCCAAUUACAAGACUCGAUUGCUCCUUUCUUGGAACCCAAAGAACUUCGUUACCCUUGGUUUGACCUUUCCUAAAACCACAACCCAAGAAAACCUUUCUUACCGCGAUUCGGCCCCAACGAAUAUAUCGCUCUUUAUCUCAAGACAUCCAAGUCUUUGUGAAGAACACCUUACCUAACCGCAGCUAGGAUUUUCCUAAUCCUUGAAUUACAAUGCUUUGAGUUAUGAAGGAGUACGUAAUACUCGGAUUUUACAAUAAAGAUCAAAGACUAAAACCUAAGCAAGAACUCACAAGACUUCCUAGUCUAAUAUGAAUGUACAUGCAUGAGGUUUCUGAAAUUAUGCAGUCACUGAAAACUAUCUCUUUUCUUUUCAAGAAACACAAGAAUGAUGCAAGAAGGAUUUUCAAAGAACAUGCAAUAUGAAUAUGAAACUUAAAGCCUUAGCAUGAUCUAAUUUUUCUCCUAAUACAACAUGCAAUAUUUUCUCCUAGUUAUGACAAUGAGUAACUCGAAAAUAUGCUAAGAGAAUGAUGUAAAAAUGUAUGGGCUCUUAUGCCACAUAUGCUGAGAUUUCAGUUUAAAUAGAAAACUGUCUAAAGUCUCAGUUAAUCGAUUAAGUACCCAUUUAAUCAAUUAACACGUUGUUGAAAAUAACGGUUUUCAGUUUUUCAGUUAUCUAUUAAAAAUGUGAUUCUGUUAAUCGAUUAACACUAUUCACAAUUGAUUAAGUUAAUGGAUUAACAGAGUUUAUAAUCCAUUAAACAAUGUAAAAUUAGCUUGAAACAGUGUAAAAUCAACUUGUUAAUGCAUGGUGAACUACCAAUAUGAUAUAUGCUCAUGUAAUACAAGAUUUCCAAAUAUAAUACAUUUAAUGUACAAAAUCAAUGUAUUCAAAUGCAUGAACCUAAUUAUCAUAUAUUUCUAGAUGAUGUCUCAUUUUAGUGGAUUAAUUACUUUAUUAAGUCUUGUGAGACUCACACCUAGGUUUACCUAACCUAGACUCAAUAUCUAUGGUAAGCAUCUUAGACUUCUAAAACAAUAAUAAAGAAUUAUAACCUAAGUCUAAUAAGUCACCACUUGAGUCCUCGACAUGUUGUAUGUUGAAUGAUCUUCAAGCUUGUCUUCAUAUUGGUCUUCAUGUUUUUCUUGAUGUUUGUCUUCAUCAAAACAUAGAUCAAUCCCAAUGGUGCACUUCACUUUCACUUGAGAGGUGUAGGAUAAGUGGGAGCUGGAAACAGCGGAAGUGAAAUAUCACUACUUUUAACGUUAUUUUACUUAUUCCGUGAAUCGGAGGCGGGGCGCAGCCCCUGUUUUUGGACCCAAGUUUGGCCUCGGUCGAUCGAUAUAGGCGGAAGACAUUGUCAGGUGGGGAGUUUGGCUGGGGCGACACAUCUGUUAAAAGAUAAAGCAUGUGUCCUAAGAUGAGCUCAACGAGAACAAAAAUCUCGUGUGGAACAAAAGGGUAAAAGCUCAUUUGAUCAUGAUUUCCAGUAGGAAUAUUAACUAUGAAAGUGUGGCCUAUCGAUCCUUUAGUCCUUCGGAAUUUGAAGCUAUAGGUGUCAUAAAAGUUACCACAGGGAUAACUAGGUUAUGGCAGCCAAGCGUUCAUGGCGAUGUUGCUUUUUGAUCCUUCGAUGUUGGCGCUUCCUAUCACUGUGAAGCAGAAUUCACCAAGUGUUGGAUUGUUGACCCACCAAUAGGGAACGUGAGCUGGGUUUAGACCAUCAUGAGACAGGUUAGUUUUACCUUACUGAUGACAGUAUUGCAAUAGUAAUUCAACCUAGUACGAGAGCAACCGUUGAUUCGCACAAUUGGUCAUUGCGCUUGGUUGAAAAGCCAGUGGCACGAAGCUACUGCGCGUUGGAUUAUGACUUAAUGUAUCUAAGUCAUAAUCCGGGCUAGAAGUGAUGCGUGUGUCAGUCGCCCGUUUGCCGACCAGUAGUAGGGGGUGAUAAGUGCCAAACAUACCUAAACAAACAUACCUAAAAAUCAUACAUUUUUAUGGCACUUAUCUUAAGCAUAAUUGAGAAUAACCAACUUAGAACAAUACUUUUUGUAU